UGGGGAAUAUUGCACAAUGGGCGCAAGCCUGAUGCAGCCAUGCCGCGUGUGUGAAGAAGGCCUUCGGGUUGUAAAGCACUUUCAGCGGGGAGGAAGGCGAUAAGGUUAAUAACCUUGUCGAUUGACGUUACCCGCAGAAGAAGCACCGGCUAACUCCGUGCCAGCAGCCGCGGUAAUACGGAGGGUGCAAGCGUUAAUCGGAAUUACUGGGCGUAAAGCGCACGCAGGCGGUCUGUCAAGUCGGAUGUGAAAUCCCCGGGCUCAACCUGGGAACUGCAUUCGAAACUGGCAGGCUAGAGUCUUGUAGAGGGGGGUAGAGUUCCAGGUGUAGCGGUGAAAUGCGUAGAGAUCUGGAGGAAUACCGGUGGCGAAGGCGGCCCCCUGGACAAAGACUGACGCUCAGGUGCGAAAGCGUGGGGAGCAAACAGG
RNAcentral lists this ribosomal RNA (429 nucleotides) under Chloroflexota bacterium. Its description in RNAcentral is "Chloroflexi bacterium partial 16S ribosomal RNA". It matches the Rfam family "Bacterial small subunit ribosomal RNA", at positions 355 to 776 of the family's 1533-position model. Lineage: Bacteria; Bacillati; Chloroflexota. The record is from RNAcentral.